This 578-nucleotide ribosomal RNA is filed under the name uncultured bacterium. Its description in RNAcentral is "partial 16S ribosomal RNA". It matches the Rfam family "Bacterial small subunit ribosomal RNA", at positions 355 to 932 of the family's 1533-position model. The record is from RNAcentral.
UGGGGAAUUUUGGACAAUGGGCGAAAGCCUGAUCCAGCAAUGCCGCGUGUGUGAAGAAGGCCUUCGGGUUGUAAAGCACUUUUGUCCGGAAAGAAAUCCUUGGCUCUAAUACAGUCGGGGGAUGACGGUACCGGAAGAAUAAGCACCGGCUAACUACGUGCCAGCAGCCGCGGUAAUACGUAGGGUGCAAGCGUUAAUCGGAAUUACUGGGCGUAAAGCGUGCGCAGGCGGUUUGCUAAGACCGAUGUGAAAUCCCCGGGCUCAACCUGGGAACUGCAUUGGUGACUGGCAGGCUAGAGUAUGGCAGAGGGGGGUAGAAUUCCACGUGUAGCAGUGAAAUGCGUAGAGAUGUGGAGGAAUACCGAUGGCGAAGGCAGCCCCCUGGGCCAAUACUGACGCUCAUGCACGAAAGCGUGGGGAGCAAACAGGAUUAGAUACCCUGGUAGUCCACGCCCUAAACGAUGUCAACUAGUUGUUGGGGAUUCAUUUCCUUAGUAACGUAGCUAACGCGUGAAGUUGACCGCCUGGGGAGUACGUCGCAAGAUUAAAACUCAAAGGAAUUGACGGGGUCAUAGCUG